GCCUAGCAGUGCAAGUAGUUGUAGAUCUCGUGGCUAGGUCAUUAAAACACCUUAGAUAAAUCGUUUUUUAAUAUAUAAACUUAUUUUUGCUAAAUGUACAGGUAGAAAUAUGGGAUGUGCCUUAGUUGGGGACAUAAGAAUGAAUGGUACUUUAAAAGCCCCAGUGACGUCAGUGGCAAUGACUGAGAACGGGCGGGACAGGGAGAUCGGUGGCGGGACUCUUUAAUGGUGACCCCUGUCCAUAAGGCUCUUGUCACAUGUCCACGGCUCACGAGUUAGCACUCAGUUCCUCUUGAUUUAACGUCAAAUCAGGCUUUUCAAAAGGAGCUAUAUCCAUUUUUACAUUGCUUCUUAUGCAGCUUGAACGAGCACACCCAUCUUUCCUCUUGCACAUAGUUCCUUUUAGCAUAAAUACGUCCAUAUGAAGCUUUAACCAUGAAAUUAUCAAUAAAGACUUACAUUGUCAAUCCAUUUUUUAGGAAACCAACAACGUUUGCAACGUUGAAGUGGGGAGGAUAAGACAAAAUUUGUUUUUGCGCUACCAGGUAACCCAGCCUCAUCACUAGCAACAGCCAUUUUGUUUGUUCUUCCAGCACUUCGACUGAUGGAGGGUCUCAGCUGCUAUAACUCUAAGGCAGAUAUUUCUGUGGUUACAAAAGAUUCUUCCUAUAAACUGGAUACGAGACCUGAGUAUUAUCGCUCUGUAUUGAGAUAUUGCAAAAGUAUGGCGGAAGUUAUCAUUGAUGGGCCUCAAGCUAGUAGCGGUCUCAGUGAAUUUGCUCAAGCAACAGUUCUAGCCCGACUGCCUUCAAUUUCAGAAGCUUCGGCUGAUAAUUAUGGUCCUCAGCACACAAUAACACCCAAUACAGAGGCUCUCUGUCCAGUAUAUUUUAUUGGCCAGUACAUUUAGAGCAACAUUUUCCCCACAUGAGUUCCUACAGGAUGAGUUCUAGCCGUACAAGUUGCAGGAAGGUAUGAUUUUUCAAGUAAAUGUUAAGACAUCAUGAAACUAUUUAAGUGCCUCUUCCAUUAGAUAUAAGCUCUACAUGAAUUACGUAACUAAAAAAUUUCAAUAUUUUCAUACUUCCUAUUACCCUUUAGUAAUACUCUUCUGUCUGUUUCUUUACCUCAUAUUAAAGCCACCAGAGACACUUGAUACUCACGCACUACCCAUUCCCUGUAGUCAAUAGGAAAUUAAAUGAGCUAGACUGAAAAAGGGUAUUUUUAGGCUCAUAGGGCAUAACAUAGGGGUGCAAACAUUUUCCGGCCAUGGGACCAGCUCAGUCGUGUGAAAAGUGGGGGAAACCGCUGUGAGAACAGGAAGUAAUAGGAAAGCCUCUAUGAAGAUGAGACAAAAACAGGGAGCCUCACCUAAAAUAAGGUUUAUUUUUUUCCUCUGGGGGAAGCAAUCAUGAGUUUUGAUCUAAAAUGGAGAAGGUUGAUUGAAUUGGGGGAAGACCAAUUGAAUUUGAAGGAAAGCUUAGAACUGAAGGGAAGUCUCAGUAGAGUAGGGAAUCAUUUCUAAUAAUUUUAAUCAAGACAAGGUAAACAUUAUACUAUCAUCAGGAUCUCAGCAAUUAUGACACUAAAUUUUUGAAAACUAGUUUGCUUAAAAUUGCACAAAAAGUUUGCUACGAAGACCUCCGAGGUUAAUGUUUUGAUUGACUGAAGGUUUUUUUUUUGGAGUAUUCUCUUAGGUUGUCUUUUCUUUUAAUGUUUAAAAGAGCUCUAGCAGUUUUUUAAUCUUGUAAUUUUAAUUAAUUCAAAUUAUUGAAUAGAAAAUAAUGUCAUUGUUGAUUUACAAUUAAAUUAUGGUUAUUGUGAAUUUGUGCCGCAUAAAACUGUGUUUUAUGCUAAGUUAACUUGUCAGAAUUUUAUUGUCUUGCUUGCUCGUUUGUUUGUUCAUUUCUUUGUUUCUUUGUUUGUUUGUUUCUUUUUUUCUUCCCUUCUUUAUUUGUUCGUUGGUUUGUUUGUUUCUUGGUUUUUUAAAAUGUUCUUGGUCGAAGUUAUUUAUGUCCAAUUUCAAUUUCCGAAACCUUUCUCAAUUUUCAUAGUUUUCGUACAGUUGCUCAAUUAUAUUCACUGUUGUAGUGUGAUAGUGAAAUUUCAAUUUUCUUUUCCAAAAAUUGUUGACAAGGGAAUUUUGUAUUUCUAUGUAUUUUGUCUUUACUUUUAAGUGAAGACAGGGAUGCAGACGGUGUUUUCCUCUCAUAUCAUCUUGGAGCUCUGAGGAAAAGCUUCCGAACUUUUUAUUUGAAAAUUCAAAAUAUCAAGUAAAAAUUUCAAAAGUACACAGGAGCAUUUGCAAUACUGUUACGUUUUGUUUUUUUUUUUAAAAAAAAAAAACUUAGGCUCUUUAAGUUUUGCCUGCCUUUUAUUAUGUCACAUGAAAUUUAGAUUCCCAUGAUCCAGAAUUUUUGUGUCCCUGUUAGAAAGCUGUCUGUCGUUAUUUUCUUGAAGUUUCCAAACAUUUUUUAUUAAUAUUUUAAGAAGACGAAUCUCAAAUUGAUGAUAGAGCCUAUAGUUUUUCCAUGACCCAUCAUCAGAUGAAGUAUUUUUUACCUAAGUUCUUUUUUUGUGUAAGUUGAUUGUUCCUAAACCUUUGAUUAGCAUUUAAUACCUGUAUGCUGUGUUAUACCUAAAAUGUACAAACAUUUCAAGUAUUUAAACUAAAACUAUUAUCAAAGUUAAAGUAAAAUUAGUUAAAUUGAAGCAAAGAAAAGUCAUGUAGUUGAAUACUUCCUACAAUGGGUAUAUUUUGUCUAUUAGCAGAUACAUAAUUAAGCAAGGAAAGAUUGAAUUUUUAAAUUUUAGCGAUUUUAUUCUUAAUAUUUGUGUAUUUACUGUCAAAAUCCUGAUGGCAAAUAUCCAGAUUAAAUGCAGAGUGAUGGCUGAAGUCAACAAAUGUACAACUCUGUUACCUAAAAAAUCUCAGAUUUUGUUUCAUUUUUAAGAGGGAUCUUACCAAAGUAGCUUCUUGAAAUUUCCAAUGGAUAUUUUAAAGUACCUUUUUUCAGAGAGUAUGGACGGAUGUGAUCCACGAGACGAUCUGCCCGAUACUUUGAAUGAGGGAAAUUUCAAAAAAUGUUAUAGGUUUGUGACUUUUCAACUGGAGAUACACAUUUUUAGACUCUAGCUAUUGAUGAGUCUAAUUCGUAAGAAGAGGUAAAACAGAGGUAACAGAAAAAAUGUAGUUCAGUUUUUCUGUAAGAAGUGGUGGUAUAAAUGGCGAUGUUUCACCUCAAGAUUCCUACCAUAAAGAGAUGCUCACGUAUAUAAUGUUGAGGCAAGUAGAAUUUUUACAUCAGCGUGUGUCAAAUUUUAUAAAUAUUUUACAGGAUGAUAUGCUCUAUUUCUAUUUGCGAGCUUUAAUUUUAUUUUUUUGUGGUGUAGUAAAUAACUUUACACCUGUAAACUCUCAUUUUUAUGUGUCAUUUUUCAUAGUUGCUAAGUGUUAAAAUCUGUCAAAUCUAUAUUUUUUCACGUUUUUAUGAAAGAAUCUUGUAUUUUCUGGUUUUUUAGUUGCUUUUGUGUACUUCUCUCUUUUAUAUUGAUCAGAAUACUAAGCACAAGGAAAAAUAAAGGUUUUUUAAGAUUUUUAAUCGAUGAUAUCCUGUGAUACUCCUGCAGAUGUAAAAUCAUGCAUCAAAAAUUAAAUGAGCUUCUCCAUUUCAUCACCAAAAAAUGUGUAAAAAUUCUAGGUGUUGGGCGUUUCAACAGAAUUCAUUUAUGGAAUUGUGAGAAAUUCUCUUUCACCAGGUUAUUUCAAGACCCCCCCCCCCUUUUUUUUUAAUUGAAUAUAUCUUUUGUAAAUACUUAAGAUCAGAAUAUGUGCAAAAUCCAAAGAAAUGAAAACGAAUCUGAAACUAAUGGAAAAAGCAGGUAAUUAACUGUGAGCUGGAUGCAUAAGAAAGGAAAGACAAUUUGAAAAUCAAAUUAAAGAUAAGGAAUGAGCAAUAUUGUCCCGUUAAAACUCUAAAAUAUGUCAGACUGAAUUAUUUUAAACGUUACUAAUAGAGCUCUUUUUUUAAUUUAUUUUUUUUUUACUUUUAAGUUCCUUUCAAUACUGAAUUGCUUAUUCCAUUUGAUUCGCUUGGAUUUCUUUUGGCAGCUCAUUGUAGGCUAGGAGAUGAGGCAAGGGAAAUAAAUAAUUGCUCCGUAGCCUCACACUUUUUUUAUUAUUCUAUUUUUUUUAAAAAAUUAAACAACAAGAAUUUGUUUAACAAAAUAUCUUUACAAAGAAGUGAUUAAUAUACUAUCUGAGUACCUACAUUAAUGACACAUCAAUUAUAUUUACAUCGUCGGAUAGACCCCAGAUUUGCACAACAUGAGUUCAAUUCUGUUUUUGCCAAAAUUGACCAUGGCCUUUUCAAGAUUCGCCAAAAGCCUCUUACAAAUUAAUGCUGAGACAGCAAAUUUUUAUUCUUUUACUCUACUCUUGUGUAUUCUUUACUAAAGUUUCACUGCGACCAUCAGCAUUUUACAGUACCAAAUAAUAGGUAACGUCAACUUAGCCUGAAUCAGAAAAGUUAAGUAUAAGUAUAAACAUUUCUCUAGGGCGCGUUUUAUCCGCCUGUUAAAAUUUGCCAUUAUAUAGUCCAUUGUAGGAUUAAUACAAUGACACUUAUUUUACUAAAUGAGAUCAAGGUCCACAAAUUAAUUUCUGGUCCAAUAGAAUGACCUUAAAGGCAAAUAGUAGGUACCUAAUCAUCUGUACAAAGUCGUAGUUUGAAGGUUGCUACAAAGGAACCCUCCCAGAUUUGAUGAAUACUCCAGAAAUGAGUAGGAAUAAAGUUUGUACGCUGUGCUGAUGUGUAUAAAUCUCGUAAGUAAACUUCGGAGCACACAGCAAGAUGCCAGAUCUGCCGGUAUCAAAGGUGUUGACAGGACUCUGUAACAAACAAAAAUUAUACACAGUUAAUGUCUAUCAAAAAAGUUAGACAUGAUAGUGGUAUCGUGAUAGUUCCAAAGUGGUGCAAAUCAUCAGGAUCAACAGGACCCAUACCCAUAGUGAUGGGUGUGUAUUGCAUAGUGAUGAGAGGAAAGCAGCCUCAACCGUUUUUCGCUGUUGUAAGGGUCGUUCCAUGGUUUACACUGUGAUUAUGGAAUGAGGUUAAGGCGUUCCUUAACAUGUGAAGCAUCAUACACAGUAGUCUUGAAGCGAAAAAAAAAAAAAAUGCGACAAAAAUGUAUCCAAAAACGGUUUGCAAGGGCUGCAUCUAUGGUACGUGUCGACUUAAAAUCGCGAAAAAUCAAAAUCUUGGCUGAUCCUAAUUUCGAGAUACCUACUGCAAUUUGAAAUUUUCAUAUAAUAGUAAAUGCAAGUUUUCUACUGAUUUAUAUCCGCUUUUUUAUUCAUUUGUCCAUUGAAUCGGUGUCGGUCGGUUCAACUUUUUAUUUUUCGUUCGAUUCAUUUCGAACGAAUACAUAUCCUCUCGUCACAUGCAGACCACCUAUCAUACUCUUUUUUUUAACUGAACAAUCGCCUUCUGCUGCGCUCGCAGCAAUUGUUGUUACGAAUAUGUUGUGCGUGCUGAUUUCAGUUCAUUACAUACUCGACUCUCUGAAGGCGUUUUAUGUGCGCAAGUAGCGCAACCUGUCGGAGAACAAACGAAGUACGAUUAAGCGAUUCAUCCAUCCAUCCAAACUC
This 5650-nucleotide long non-coding RNA is filed under the name Bemisia tabaci. Its description in RNAcentral is "lncRNA ENSSSA1NGG009255". Lineage: Eukaryota; Metazoa; Arthropoda; Insecta; Hemiptera; Aleyrodidae. The record is from RNAcentral.